Molecule: non-coding RNA, 181 nt
Filed under: unclassified sequences
Description: RT-16 RNA
Rfam family: RT-16 RNA
About the family: candidate division DUSEL4 (Archaea). Nearby to self-splicing intron genes
Source: Rfam by way of RNAcentral
ACAAUUUUUGUUUUGACAAGUAAAAUUACUUGAAAAAGCUGUUCUUUGUGUCAAGAAGGCCACACGCCAGUUCAUCAUGACCGUUACAUUUUGAGGUUAUAAAGUUCAAUUGCAACACAUAGACUAAGGUUUACAUGGUGAAGCGAUGGUGAAAAACAAAAGAUGAAUCUGGCUACAAGAG